Molecule: ribosomal RNA, 288 nt
Filed under: Cafeteria roenbergensis
Lineage: Eukaryota; Bigyra; Bicosoecida; Cafeteriaceae
Description: partial Bacterial small subunit ribosomal RNA
Rfam family: Bacterial small subunit ribosomal RNA
Source: RNAcentral
UGAACGCUGGCGGCAUGCCUUACACAUGCAAGUCGAACGGUAACAGGUUAAGCUGACGAGUGGCGAACGGGUGAGUAAUGUAUCGGAACGUGCCCAGUCGUGGGGGAUAACUGCUCGAAAGAGCAGCUAAUACCGCAUACGACCUGAGGGUGAAAGCGGGGGAUCGCAAGACCUCGCGCGAUUGGAGCGGCCGAUAUCAGAUUAGGUAGUUGGUGAGGUAAAGGCUCACCAAGCCGACGAUCUGUAGCUGGUCUGAGAGGACGACCAGCCACACUGGGACUGAGACAC